Molecule: long non-coding RNA, 351 nt
Organism: Syngnathoides biaculeatus (alligator pipefish)
Lineage: Eukaryota; Metazoa; Chordata; Actinopteri; Syngnathiformes; Syngnathidae
Exons: 3
Source: RefSeq, a predicted model, not a curated record
GUAAUAUAUAUGUAAACUUUUGUGAUUUGAAACAUGCUAACAGGUACAAAUGCAAAAUGCAAAAUGUGCGUGGACGAAGCAUCCAAAGUCAAGGAAGACUUGUUCCGAGCCAGCAUGCCUAACUACAGAAGAAUCCUGCUCCAGCCAGUGAUGAUGAUGGUCGGAUGAGUCCUGCCACUAGAGAGUCCUCCACGUACUUCUUCAUGGCUUGGUGUUCCAGUCCUGUUAAUGAGAAGAGCCUCCCUCAAGGGGCCAGGGGCUGCCCAAGAUGACAUGGCUGCUCCGCGAGUUGACUACAUGGAAACUUAUUCUCUCGGUGUGACCGUCCGGAAAUGUCAUCCUCAGAGAUUG